UCCGUCUCAUAAAAAGUCGUUUUCCCUCUCUUGCUCUCUUUUUCUCUCCUUCCCUCUUCUCUCUCUUUAAACCCUAAAAAUGUCUCUUCUUCUUCUCUUUCAGUUAGGGCACAAACGAAAACACACUGCUUCUAGGUAUUUCUCAGCACGCGUCGUAGUCACAACAACAUCCACCAUGAAUCCUAAUAGGUUAACUUUGAUGCAAAGACUGAGUAUGAUAAGAUCUAGAAUUACUAAGCCCUACAAGAGGUUUUCAACAAGCUGAUAAUAUGGCCAACAGGUGUGUGUUAUGGUAUGUUUUCUUGAAUCCUGUAGUUGUUGUUGUUCUGUUGUUGUUGUUGCUGCAGGAAAAGUACCCUUUAUUAACCAUAACAACAUCCAAAAAAACCUGGAAAUUGGUUUGGUGUUCGAUUUGAAUCUGAAGUAAAGAUCGAUUCGUGACUUCGGCAUAAGGAGAGUCUGAGAGAGGGUGGUUCCGAACAUCAUUUCUUUUGUUAAGUUUUGUUUAAAUCACGGUAAGUUUCAUUUAGUUUGAUCUCAAACCUGACUUGAUCUACAUUUGUUAUGAAUUUGAAUUUACAUUAGUUUGAUCUCAAAGCUGUUUAAAUUCGAUAUGAUACUAAAGAUUUGGAUUUAUUUUUUCUUCUUUUAGGAUAAUGAAAAACAAGUCAGGGAAGAAUUUGAUAUGAUACGAAAUAUUCUCUUAGCUACUGCUUUUUAUUAAACAGCUAAAACAUUUGCUUAUCCUUAUUUACUUCAUAUAUUUUUCGAUUUUAGAGUUGUUUGUUUCCUCUUCUUAUUUCCAAGAGAGUCCAAUGCCAGAUCCAUCUGAAUUAUUUUCUAAUGUACAUGUUAAAGGAUACAUAGUUGAGUUAUAGAUUCCAUCCAUAUUCACUAUCCGUUGAUUAAAAUUAAACUAUAAGAAUAGGAAAUUUAUAGAUACGGAGUGAGAGUUAAGUUGUCAUAAAUAGGAAAUUUAAUAGUCCCCAAAUUGGUGAAAAUAAAGAAGAGUAAAAGAUUUUUCUACAGAACUAAUCUUUGAGCCCUUGGGUUGAGUUUCCCCGCGUAUAUAGUCAAUUUAUACUCUUGAGCGGCAAUGAGAGUUGAUUGAAUACUUUUUGACAUGUAUUUUUUGUUGGAGAGCAUAUGUAUGUAGAUUGACAAAAGCCUUCAUUUCUGGUGCAAAUGACUUCAUUUCUUCUUUCCUGACUUGAUCUACAUUUGUUAUUUGAUCACAAACCUGCCAAUUGUUUUAUAACUACAGCAUGUUUGGAUGGAACAUUGCCCAGUAACCACUUGGACCGCGGAUUUGAAUCUGGUGCAAAUAGUUGGCUUAUUCAUCUUGAGGUAUGUAAAAUAAUAUCCAGACUUUAAUAUCAAUACUUGCUUUAACUCUCCCAUCUUUGAGGCUGCAACUUAUGUAUACUCAAGUAUUUGUUUUAAUUGUCCACUUUAUUUAAUUUUUUUAAACUGGAAUAGAGUCAAUUUAAGGUACUGUGACGGAGCAUAUUUUACGGGAGAUAGUGAAAAUGAGGCCAGUGAAGAAAAACUUAUCUUAAUAAGCAUUCCUAUGGAAACUGUCAAUGAAAGAUUUGAUUUUGCAAUCCAUUAUUGUGUGACCGUAUUGGGAUUUGAUUCUUUUUACAGGUUGUGCUCUGUCAACACUUCAAACGGCUUUAUUAGUAGAGAAGUCCAGACAUAAGCCACAAGAGAGGAUGAUAAUUUUAUCAGAUAUAAGUUGAUUUUCCAAGUUUUGAUUGAUAUUGCUAUGUCAUCCAUAUGUCGCGGCUAAAGGGUUCUUUUUGUUGCAGGCACUUAAAACCAGUAACUAUGAUGCUGAACAUUUUGUAUGUUUAGAGUAAUGUACCAAUCAAGGAUGGUAAAGUGACAUUUUGUAUAUUUAGAGUCAUGUACCAACCAAGUUCAUCUUCUGACUUUUCUCUGGUAUUUAUGCUUCGAAAUCAUUUUUCAUAUAACCAAAUAUGAGUAUUCAUAGGAUCUUUCAAUUAUAUUGCUGAAUGACAUGUUUAUUGUUGACUGACAUGGUUCAAUUAUAUUUGGUUAUUUGGUCAUGUACAACACUUAAAUUGGUGCUUCAAUGGACUGUGUUAGUUGUGAAUACAUGUUCCAAAGUUUUCCUCUAGAACUAAAAGUUGACUCCAAACACUGAUGCACAAGUUUUGGUUCAAUGUUUGGAAAAGAAAUAAAUGAAAUUAGAAGACCUUUAUUUUUUCAGUCUAAAUUAAAUCGCUGACCAAUUUAUUACUCUUAUAUGUAAUUCAUUGCACUCUUAUAUGUUAAACAAUAUAAUAUUUAUUAACCUUUAUUGAAAAUCAAUUAGCAAUUAUCUCAUUUAUUACCAUCAAUUUAUUUUUGUAGAAACAUGAGUCAUUUGAAAAACAUUUUUAUCCACAAAAGGCAAUAAGCUUUUUUGGACCUGUUAGUUUGUAAAUGGGUGCUAUUCACAAAAGGCAUUGAUCCAAUUAUCUCAUUUACUACUCUUAUAUAGAAUUAUGCAGGUGCUGGAUCUGUUAGUUUAGUUUGUAAAGGGGUGCUGUUCAGAUUAGACACAAAAGACAAUAUAUUUGUAAAACAAGAGUUGAGGCACCUGUUUGUACAAUUUAAACACAAAAGACAAUAAACUUUUUUUAUCUCAUGAUAAAUAAGGAUUAUUUAAAUAAUUAAGGAUAUUAAUUUAUCAAAUACAAAAGCUGAAUGAUUGAAUAAGCAAUUGAUUACAUAACUUUAUAUAAAUUUAAUAAAUUUAAUGUGUUAUAAAUCACCAUAAACAUUAUAACCCCUAAUUCAAUGUCAUCAUCAAAUAUUUUAGUUAUUUGAGAAAGUAUUAUAUUCUAAUAAAUUCAAAGUUUGAUUGCAUUUUUUAGUUAUUUGAGAAAUUGGAGUGAAUGCUUUUGGGUUGUAUUUUUUAUUUUUUAUGUAUUUAUUAAGCAUUAAUUUAAAAUAUAUUUAUUUAUUUAUUAUCAAAUUAUACCAAGUAAUUUAGUUAUGUAAACGUGUUUUUUUAAACGAGUUCUUCUUUAUAAUGUCAACUAACUAUUAUUGAGACUUGGCAAAUGGUUUUUUUUUUAAAUGUGAUCGUAUGGAGAUGGUGUUCAACAUUAUUUUAAUGAUUUAAACCAGUGUUUUAAAAACCGGACCGGUCAUCGAACCGGUGAGAGUACUGGGUCACUGAUUUAUCGGUCGAACCACUGGGACACUGGUCGAACCGCACGACCAAACCGAAUUAAACCGGAUAACUCGGUUGAAUAGAACUGUUAUUAUAUAGGUAUAAAACCGGUCGAACCGGAUGAUUCAAUCUCUAAAAAAUUAUAACUAGCUUUUAAAUUUUUUAAAAAUAUCAUAUCAUAAAUUCACAAUUUCAUAACUUAAAUUCAAAUUUUAAA
Long non-coding RNA from Vicia villosa (hairy vetch), 3404 nucleotides. RefSeq lists it as uncharacterized. NCBI's taxonomy places the organism in Eukaryota, Viridiplantae, Streptophyta, Magnoliopsida, Fabales, Fabaceae. The transcript has 3 exons. The record is from RefSeq and is a predicted model, not a curated record.